RNAcentral lists this ribosomal RNA (550 nucleotides) under uncultured bacterium. RNAcentral's name for it is "bacterial SSU rRNA". It matches the Rfam family "Bacterial small subunit ribosomal RNA", at positions 353 to 921 of the family's 1533-position model. The record is from RNAcentral.
AGUGGGGAAUAUUGGACAAUGGGGGCAACCCUGAUCCAGCAAUGCCGCGUGAGUGAUGAAGGCCUUCGGGUUGUAAAGCUCUUUCGGCGGGGAAGAUGAUGACGGUACCCGCAGAAGAAGCCCCGGCUAACUUCGUGCCAGCAGCCGCGGUAAUACGAAGGGGGCUAGCGUUGUUCGGAAUUACUGGGCGUAAAGGGCGCGUAGGCUGUGCUGUAAGUCAGGCGUGAAAUCCCCGGGCUCAACCUGGGAAUUGCGCAUGAUACUGCGGCGCUGGAAUGCAGGAGAGGAUGGCGGAAUUCCCAGUGUAGAGGUGAAAUUCGUAGAUAUUGGGAAGAACACCGGUGGCGAAGGCGGCCAUCUGGCCUGCAAUUGACGCUGAGGCGCGAAAGCGUGGGGAGCAAACAGGAUUAGAUACCCUGGUAGUCCACGCCGUAAACGAUGAGUGCUAGACGUCGGGGGGCUUGCCCUUCGGUGUCGCCGCUAACGCAUUAAGCACUCCGCCUGGGGAGUACGGUCGCAAGAUUAAAACUCAAAGGAAUUGACGGGGGCC